This 1799-nucleotide long non-coding RNA is filed under the name Olea europaea subsp. europaea. The record is from RNAcentral. Lineage: Eukaryota; Viridiplantae; Streptophyta; Magnoliopsida; Lamiales; Oleaceae.
CGUUUACAUCCUAACCUCAUCUCUUUUUCCCUUUCAUUCCCCCGUCCCCAAACUCUGAGAAAACCCACAUAGGCGAAACGGUGGGUAAAAUGAAGCUGCACUCCUCCGUUAUGACCUUAUUAAGAAGCUCGUGGUUACUGUAGUGAUCGUCUGUCGAUUAGUCGAACGGUGGGUAAAUUUUAUAUUUUUUCUCAGUUCCAUGUUUGAAAUGGAAGAUUGAUUUAUAAUUAAUUUUAUUUUUUAUUUUGAAUUCUUUAUUUCUUCCAUACAUAUAUAUUGCAACAUUUAAUUUGAUGAGUUGCUUGGAUUUAUGAGUUAUUUAUGGGAAUCCAUAGGUGUUGAACUUGAGGAUUUAUCAUUUUGAUUUAAUUAGUAAGGAAGGCGAUUUUCCCCCUUUUGGAAGUUUCUGCAUUGUUUCAAUUAGGUCUCCUUCCCUUUUUAACGACAUCUGUCUAAUCUUUUCAGUGUUAUGCGAUUUAAUUGAAUGUUGAUUAUGAUUUACGGAACGAGACUCUUUUUCACUGUAUUUGAGAAAACGGAGCAAUUCUGUAAAUUGGAAAUCAAGUAUAAAAUAUUAGAAUUCUGAAUGUUGUAAUUCCUUGUUUAUAUUAGAAUUUCAUGUCUUACACAGUAGACUCCGAUUUCUCUAUAUUCAUUGAUGUACGUUUUUUGAGCUUGGAUUUAAAGCAGCAGUGGACUACGACUAGACUUUCAGACUUACUAAUUUUUCCAUACUUAUUUGAGCUUCCUCUGUAUCAUACGUUGGUAAAUUUUGUAUUUUAAGUCUAAUUAAUGUUUUUAUGAUCAGGUCAAAGCGAAACAACAAACUUUAUCUUCUUUUGUUGAUGUGUUAGAGAAUUCAGAUAAACCACUAUUGGUUUAUUUCUUUGCUAUACUUGGUAAGGUCGCUUUAAUUUAUAUGUCAAUUCCUAGCCUUUACAAAUGAGAAGCUGUAUUGUGCUUAUUAUCUUAUGGGAUAGGUGAUUGUGUUUCUACCUAUGUUACAUCGUAUGGGAUGGGCUUGUCAACUAAGAAAUUUUUGUCAAAUAUAACAGAAGGAAAAAAUGAAUGGAUUAUGAGUUUUGUAAAUUUGUGGAUUUUACAUUGGUGUGUGGUUGUUGUCUAAUGUAGUGAAACUUGUCUUUCAUUUGUAUGUAGGAUGGCAGGAAAGAAUUUCGGACGUUGUCAUAGCUGUAGAGAGAAAAGACACUUCUUCACAGAUUACCCAAGAAACGACAAUGCCUGUGGUGUAAAAUUGGAUAUGUGAAGUGCUUUGAGGUUUAGAGGGAAACGAAGAACAAAGGAAAAUUGUUCAAUUGCUGUAGUGCUAACUGUAAAUACUGGGAAUGGGUUAACGAAUGAGAAUUGAGCAACGGAUCGACUACUAUUGCAAUGAACUCAAAUAAUCAAGCGGCACUUUAAGAAGUCCAGCAGUUCUCUCGUAUGUUCCAGUCCCUUUGUCGGGUAAACGAAGAACAAAAUAUUGAAAUUUCUUUGAACGUGACAAUAAGGAAGGCCAAUGGAAGUGCGGGAGUGGAUAAGAAAUGGAAGGGGCCGGCAUGAUUGGGAACACGAUCUUUUCUUAGGAGGCAUCGGUAACAUUUAGGAUGUGCAAUAUAUGUUGUGUUAUGUAGAGUUGAUGUAUAAUAUGUGUUGUGUUGUGUGAACAAAUCAUUGUAAUGUAGUCGCAUUUCAUGUUUCCGUCGUUAUGUGAAUGAUGUUGAUGUUAAUUUUAGUGGACUGCAGUUUGUUCUCUUCAUUAUGUACCAGCAAUUUUUCUUCAGUCAAUUGGGAGUGAA